AACGCAAAUGGCGCUUCCUGGUCUUCGGGGAGCAUGCCUGUUUGAGAACCGUAAGAGCAAAUCACCCGAACUUUUGUUGUUCGGGUGGAGUUGGAUGUCACAGGCUGUGAGGAGAGGGGAUUGCUUUUCUCUCUCUUUCUCCCGGCUCGUGGUCCGCAAAGCUUCUUCCAUCGAUUCAGAUAGAAUGUGGGGCGGUGAGAGACACUUUUUGCGGUCUUUCCCCAAAGGCUAGGAUUAAAUAUGGCACUUGCCGUGCACAUAUAUACGACGGCCGACAUCAGGGGAAAGCUGCGAAGGGAGGGGUUUCUCUCACCGAGGAAAGGGGGGGUUUUUUCCCAUUUCUCCCCACAGAACCUGGUCUCAAAUCAGGCAAGAGAACCCGCUGAACUUAA
Molecule: unclassified non-coding RNA, 392 nt
Filed under: uncultured fungus
Lineage: Eukaryota; Fungi
Description: partial contains 5.8S ribosomal RNA, internal transcribed spacer 2, and large subunit ribosomal RNA
Source: RNAcentral